AGAGUUUGAUCCUGGCUCAGAAUCAACGCUGGCGGCGCGCUUAACACAUGCAAGUCGCACGAGAAAGAGGAGCAAUCCUUGAGUAAAGUGGCGUACGGGUGAGUAACACGUGGAUCAUCUACCUUUUAGUGGGGAAUACCCCUGGGAAACCGGGGAUAAUACCGCAUAAGCUCGUGAGAGGAAAGCAGCAAUGCGCUGAAAGAGGAGUCCGCGGCUGAUUAGCUAGUUGGCGGGGUAACGGCCCACCAAGGCGAAGAUCGGUAGCCGGCCUGAGAGGGCACACGGCCACACUGGCACUGAAACACGGGCCAGACUCCUACGGGAGGCAGCAGUGGGGAAUCUUGCACAAUGGAGGAAACUCUGAUGCAGCGACGCCGCGUGAGCGAUGAAGCCCUUCGGGGUGUAAAGCUC
Molecule: ribosomal RNA, 411 nt
Filed under: uncultured bacterium
Lineage: Bacteria
Description: bacterial SSU rRNA
Rfam family: Bacterial small subunit ribosomal RNA
Source: RNAcentral